GACGAACGCUGGCGGCGUGCUUAACACAUGCAAGUCGAACGAUGACGACCGAGCUUGCUCGGUCUGAUUAGUGGCGAACGGGUGAGUAACACGUGAGCAACCUGCCCUUCACUCUGGGAUAACCUCGGGAAAUCGGGGCUAAUACCGGAUAUGAGCUCCUGUCGCAUGGCGGGUGUUGGAAAGUUUUUCGGUGAAGGAUGGGCUCGCGGCCUAUCAGUUUGUUGGUGAGUAGUGGCUCACCAAGGCGAUGACGGGUAGCCGGCCUGAGAGGGCGACCGGCCACACUGGGACUGAGACACGGCCCAGACUCCUACGGGAGGCAGCAGUGGGGAAUAUUGCACAAUGGGCGAAAGCCUGAUGCAGCGACGCCGCGUGAGGGAUGACGGCCUUCGGGUUGUAAACCUCUUUCAGCAGGGAAGAAGCGAAAGUGACGGUACCUGCAGAAGAAGCGCCGGCUAACUACGUG
This 466-nucleotide ribosomal RNA is filed under the name uncultured bacterium. RNAcentral describes it as "partial 16S ribosomal RNA". It matches the Rfam family "Bacterial small subunit ribosomal RNA", at positions 28 to 507 of the family's 1533-position model. The record is from RNAcentral.